This 484-nucleotide ribosomal RNA is filed under the name uncultured bacterium. RNAcentral describes it as "partial 16S ribosomal RNA". It matches the Rfam family "Bacterial small subunit ribosomal RNA", at positions 30 to 507 of the family's 1533-position model. The record is from RNAcentral.
AUUGAACGCUGGCGGCAUGCUUUACACAUGCAAGUCGAACGGCAGCACGGGCUUCGGCCUGGUGGCGAGUGGCGAACGGGUGAGUAAUAUAUCGGAACGUACCCAGAAGUGGGGGAUAACGUAGCGAAAGUUACGCUAGUACCGCAUACGAUCUAUGGAUGAAAGCAGGGGACCGCAAGGCCUUGUGCUCCUGGAGCGGCCGAUAUCUGAUUAGCUAGUUGGUGAGGUAAAGGCUCACCAAGGCGACGAUCAGUAGCUGGUCUGAGAGGACGACCAGCCACACUGGAACUGAGACACGGUCCAGACUCCUACGGGAGGCAGCAGUGGGGAAUUUUGGACAAUGGGCGCAAGCCUGAUCCAGCAAUGCCGCGUGAGUGAAGAAGGCCUUCGGGUUGUAAAGCUCUUUUGUCAGGGAAGAAGCGGUAGAGGCUAAUAUCCUUUGCUAAUGACGGUACCUGAAGAAUAAGCACCGGCUAACUACGUG